AUGAGAAGGAGCAGACGGCGAAGGAGACGCCAGACGAGGAGUGGGCGCCAAUGCCGGUUGCCGGGUUCACCAUGGUGCAGGUGUAGGCGCAACUCAGCCGCGUCAUGGUGGAGGUGGAGCACGAGUAGUAGGCGGUGCCGCCAGUGUCCACAUUCUAGAACCUGCAAGAGGAGGAGCUAUUCAACCUGGGACCUUCUCAUGCAUCACCGACUAGUGGAGGAGCAGAUCACCGACGAGCAGGCUAACGAGCAAGCCACUGUGACCAUGGUUGUGGAGGACCCCAAAUUCGUCCACAACUCAGUGGACAUUGUACGAGUUGGUGCGCAGCACCCGCAACAUCCAGCACGAGCGAAUGUAGCUCCGUGUUAA
This 369-nucleotide ribosomal RNA is filed under the name Triticum aestivum (bread wheat). RNAcentral describes it as "partial small subunit ribosomal RNA". Lineage: Eukaryota; Viridiplantae; Streptophyta; Magnoliopsida; Poales; Poaceae. The record is from RNAcentral.